AUCAGUUAUAGUUUAUUUGAUAGUACCUCACUACAUGRAUAACCGUAGUAAUUCUAGAGCUAAUACAUGCGAAAAGAMCCGACUUCUGGAAGGGUUGUAUUUAUUAGAUAAAAAACCAAUGCGGAGCAAUCCGGUUUUUGGUGAAUCAUAAUAACUUAACGGAUCGCAUGGCCUCGUGCCGGCNGAUAGUUCAUUCNAAAUKUCUGCCCUAUCAACU
Molecule: ribosomal RNA, 217 nt
Filed under: uncultured Choanoflagellida
Lineage: Eukaryota; Choanoflagellata
Description: partial 18S ribosomal RNA
Rfam family: Eukaryotic small subunit ribosomal RNA
Source: RNAcentral